CUUUUUAUCUAGACUGUGUCUUUAAAGUGGUGGAAAUGACCAAUUCUGUGUCUUAGGAGGGAGGUGGCAUGAAGCCGGGAAAUGACUGAGGAAGGGAUACUGAUAUGAAAUGAUUUAUUUCUGGAAAAUGCUCUUGUCCCUGGUUCCCUUCACGCCCCCACCCCCAGCCUCAGCUCUGUCUGGGUGGAACGAAUGUCUGCUAAUGAACUAAACAAACAGGUCUCUUAAUCUUAUCAUGGAGCUGACCCAGAGACUGGCACAGAUAUCCAAAGUAUCAUAAUUGGCAGGUCAGAAUUAAAACUACAUGCAUCAUAGUGACUUUAUAGCUGAGGCAAAGUGGAGCUCAAGUGUUACUUUCCCAGUAAACAAAUCAUAAUGAAGUAUCAUGCUGGUGACUAAUUUAACUAACAUUGUCCAGGAAAUUGCUGUUGUCCAGGAAGAAAAGAGUUGAGCUGUGUGUCAGCUACUG
Molecule: non-coding RNA, 469 nt
Filed under: Pongo abelii (Sumatran orangutan)
Lineage: Eukaryota; Metazoa; Chordata; Mammalia; Primates; Hominidae
Source: RNAcentral